RNAcentral lists this ribosomal RNA (181 nucleotides) under uncultured bacterium. Its description in RNAcentral is "partial 16S ribosomal RNA". It matches the Rfam family "Bacterial small subunit ribosomal RNA", at positions 1320 to 1500 of the family's 1533-position model. The record is from RNAcentral.
AUGAAGUUGGAAUCACUAGUAAUCGCGGAUCAGCAUGCCGCGGUGAAUGCGUUCUCGGGCCUUGUACACACCGCCUGUCACACCAUGAGAGUCGGGAACACCCGAAGUCCGUAGCCUAACCGCAAGGGGGGCGCGGCCGAAGGUGGGCUCGAUAAUUGGGGUGAAGUCGUAACAAGGUACC